AUGUUCUUGUUUUCAUCAGGCACCAUCGUGUAUGCUACUGUUGGUGGUGUUGGUCUGAUCGCUAUCGUGCUUCUGGCAGUAUGCUGCAGGAAGUCCAGAAAAACCUCAAAAAUUAAACAACACGUGUACUGCAACAGUGCAGACUUCACCAAUGCAAACGAAAGAAAGGUCAGCUGUGGUUAUGAUGACACUGAGAAGAGGACAAAGUGUAGGAAAAAGUCACCUAAGAGUUCUUAUGUACCUACUCACCAACAAAGACAGGAUCUACCAACAUCUGAUCCCCCAGCAAGUGUACACCUUCAUAUCUAUGAAAACAUCUCUUCCCCCAAACUCCCUGAAUGUUCAGGAUAUUCACCCACAGGGGAACAAAAUGACUAUGAUAAUAACUCUGGAAUCUACAUUAAUACUUUGCCAAACUUAAUGCAUGAAAGAACAGAUCAUGGUACUUGUAGAAAACACAAAGCUAAACAUAAGACAUGCAAAAAUAUAGAGAGUUGCACAAACAGUGUCUCCAGAGCCCCUUGUGGAUCCACUGAAGAGAAGCCCAGAUCACUUUGGUUUGGUUUAGAUUUAUCAGAAAUAAAGGAGAGUUAACCUUAAAGAUAUGAUUUUUUAAUGGACAUUCAUGGACAAGUCCAUAAAUAAUAUAUGAGCAACGCUCAUUGUCAUCAUUAUUUAACUUGUACACUAAGUUGUACUGUUAAUAUUUCCAUUUCAUGUCUCUGGCUUCAUGUGUUUGUGUAAAUUCAACUUCUGUUGCAUUUAAGGACACGUUUAAAAGCUUCUCUGCUCAGAGUUAAAAGCGUAAAAUGUUACUUCAUGAGGUUAAUACUUCCGGUUAAGUUCAGGGGAAGCAUUAGUAAAGCAUUGUGUCACUUUGUGAUAUGUUCAUGAGCAUGUGCUGUUGUGGUUAAUGUCAGCAUGUAAAUACCGAACAGUCUGUGUCUUCACAGUUAAUGAAAACUUGUGAAAAUGAGAGUGAAUUAUGUCUUUACGAUAAACUGUGUAUACAAUUCAUUAUGCUAAAGACUUGGUUUUUGCUUCCUCCCACUGCACACUGAUAUGAGUAACCCAAAUUAUACUUAUUACUAUCAACUUGUGAAACAAUAUAACAUCACAGUGAUGUGUAGUUCACAAUGAAGAUCUAUUCUAUUCUAUUCUAUUCUAUUCUAUUCUAUUCUAUUCUAUGUUAUUCUAUUCUAUUCAAGCGUUCAUGUAAUAAAUGAAUGAUAUGUAGCUUACAUACAUA
Molecule: long non-coding RNA, 1249 nt
Filed under: Oreochromis niloticus (Nile tilapia)
Lineage: Eukaryota; Metazoa; Chordata; Actinopteri; Cichliformes; Cichlidae
Description: lncRNA (ENSONIG00000033388.1)
Source: RNAcentral